GAUGAGUUAGAGUUGGAAUGGGGUCGUGAUAGAGGUGAUGAGUUAGAGUUGGAAGGAAAUGAUGAUAGUAGUGAUGAGUUAGAGUUGGAAGGGAAUGGCGAUAGUGGUGAUGAGGAAGGGAAUGACGAUAGUAGUGAUAAGUUAGAGUUGGAAGGGAAUGGCGAUAGUGGUAAUGAGGAAGGGAAUGACGAUAGUAGUGAUGAGUUAGAGUUGGAAGGGAAUGAUGAUAGUGGUGAUGAGGAAGGGAAUGACGAUAGUAGUGAUGAGUUAGAGUUGGAACAGAAUGACGAUAGUGGUGUUGAACAAAAUGGAGCAG
This 316-nucleotide long non-coding RNA is filed under the name Vitis vinifera (wine grape). RNAcentral describes it as "long non-coding RNA (VVIN_LNC003892)". Lineage: Eukaryota; Viridiplantae; Streptophyta; Magnoliopsida; Vitales; Vitaceae. The record is from RNAcentral.